GAUGAACGCUGGCGGCGUGCCUAAUACAUGCAAGUCGAGCGAACGGACGAGAAGCUUGCUUCUCUGAUGUUAGCGGCGGACGGGUGAGUAACACGUGGAUAACCUACCUAUAAGACUGGGAUAACUUCGGGAAACCGGAGCUAAUACCGGAUGAUAUUUUGAACCGCAUGGUUCAAAAGUGAAAGACGGUCUUGCUGUCACUUAUAGAUGGAUCCGCGCUGCAUUAGCUAGUUGGUAAGGUAACGGCUUACCAAGGCACCGAUGCAUAGCCGACCUGAGAGGGUGAUCGGCCACACUGGAACUGAGACACGGUCCAGACUCCUACGGGAGGCAGCAGUAGGGAAUCUUCCGCAAUGGGCGAAAGCCUGACGGAGCAACGCCGCGUGAGUGAUGAAGGUCUUCGGAUCGUAAAACUCUGUUAUUAGGGAAGAACAUAUGUGUAAGUAACUGUGCACAUCUUGACGGUACCGAAUCAGAAAGCCACGGCUAACUACGU
RNAcentral lists this ribosomal RNA (496 nucleotides) under uncultured bacterium. RNAcentral's name for it is "partial 16S ribosomal RNA". It matches the Rfam family "Bacterial small subunit ribosomal RNA", at positions 28 to 506 of the family's 1533-position model. The record is from RNAcentral.